GGGGGCGAUUGGUUUCGACUGGAUCGCUGUUGGUUUGGAUGGCGUGUCGUGGUUGAUCAGUUGGCCACGUAAAAAGCUGAUCAAACAAUAACUGCCAAUAACAAUCGGCAAUUCGCUCUGGCUGCCUAAUUACAGGUAGUCCCGACUGCGGAAUCCCCGUCUGAGGAGUCCAAAAGUCGGUUAAAAUUCAGACUGGUUCCGGGUCAAUGUCCGCUACGCCCGGUUCGAGACUUUGUGGUGGACUGGCGUCAGGGAAUUCUGGUCGUGGAAGUCUCUGACGCGAGAUCAAUUUGCGACCUACACACGUAGAGGUUCAUCCCAAGGCCUCACAGGACGCGGGUUCAAUCCCCGCCGCCUCCACU
RNAcentral lists this transfer-messenger RNA (362 nucleotides) under Planctomycetaceae bacterium. It matches the Rfam family "transfer-messenger RNA". From Rfam's summary of the family: Bacterial tmRNA, also known as 10Sa RNA or SsrA, is named for its dual tRNA and mRNA-like properties. Its role is to liberate the mRNA from a stalled ribosome. To accomplish this part of the tmRNA is used as a reading frame that ends in a translation stop signal. The record is from RNAcentral. Lineage: Bacteria; Pseudomonadati; Planctomycetota; Planctomycetia; Planctomycetales; Planctomycetaceae.